UUCAGGUGUCAAAAAGGAUGUGGAGAAAAAGGAACACUCUUGCACUGUUCGUGGGAAGGUAAACUGAAGAAGCCUCUCUGGAAAACAGUAUGGAGG
This is a long non-coding RNA of Mustela erminea (ermine), 96 nucleotides long. RefSeq lists it as uncharacterized. NCBI's taxonomy places the organism in Eukaryota, Metazoa, Chordata, Mammalia, Carnivora, Mustelidae. The record is from RefSeq and is a predicted model, not a curated record. The transcript is spliced from 3 exons.